GGCGCUUUGGCAGAGUGGCCUAAUGCGAUGCCCUGCUAUGAACUCUUGUAGCACAGUGUAGGCAUUCUCUUCGGAGGCGCAGGUUCGAAUCCUGCAGGCGUCG
Pseudomassariella vexata is the source of this 103-nucleotide transfer RNA. It matches the Rfam family "tRNA". From Rfam's summary of the family: Transfer RNA (tRNA) molecules are approximately 80 nucleotides in length. Their secondary structure includes four short double-helical elements and three loops (D, anti-codon, and T loops). The record is from Rfam. Lineage: Eukaryota; Fungi; Ascomycota; Sordariomycetes; Amphisphaeriales; Pseudomassariaceae.